GACGAACGCUGGCGGCGUGCCUAAUACAUGCAAGUUGAGCGCUGAAGGUUGGUCCUUGUACCAACUGGAUGAGCAGCGAACGGGUGAGUAACGCGUGGGGAAUCUGCCUUUGAGCGGGGGACAACAUUUGGAAACGAAUGCUAAUACCGCAUAAAAACUUUAAACACAAGUUUUAAGUUUGAAAGAUGCAAUUGCAUCACUCAAAGAUGAUCCCGCGUUGUAUUAGCUAGUUGGUGAGGUAAAGGCUCACCAAGGCGAUGAUACAUAGCCGACCUGAGAGGGUGAUCGGCCACAUUGGGACUGAGACCCGGCCCAAACUCCUACGGGAGGCAGCAGUAGGGAAUCUUCGGCAAUGGACGAAAGUCUGACCGAGCAACGCCGCGUGAGUGAAGAAGGUUUUCGGAUCGUAAAACUCUGUUGGUAGAGAAGAACGUUGGUGAGAGCGGAAAGCUCAUCAAGUGACGGUAACUACCCAGAAAGGGACGGCUAACUACGUG
Molecule: ribosomal RNA, 497 nt
Filed under: uncultured bacterium
Lineage: Bacteria
Description: partial 16S ribosomal RNA
Rfam family: Bacterial small subunit ribosomal RNA
Source: RNAcentral